CACCACGGGAGCUGCCUCCAGCUUAUCGCCUCCCUGGUGGUGGGAAACCUCCUGUUUCCAGCCCGAGUGCCAGCGCGGAGGCCGAAAGUGGCCGCGGGCCCGCAGCGCGGCCCGGCAGCCGGCCGGGGGAGCCCGCCCGAGAUGGCGGCGGCGCGAGGGGACGGCGCGGGAGGCGACAACGGUCUGAAAAAGAGGCUUUAUGGAAAAACAGAGGCAGAGGACAGUACAUAUGCAGAGCUACAUGGCUCAGAGAGACAGAGCUAGUGUGGACCCAGCUAAAAAGGGAAUGAUUACAUGUGGCCUCCCAGAUCAAGUGGAAAUUGUGAGGCAAGAUUCAAGAGCACUCUGGGAUGAAGAUCUACUUCAAGGAGCACUGGAGAAGAUAAAUAGUAACUUGGAUUGCAACAUAGUUAAAUCCCAGUAAAUAUGACUGACGUUUUCUGAUCUUUUCUUGUUUUUUAUUGUUUUGGAUUAUAGUGGGUUAAUCAUUACAGACAUUUUGCAAACUUUAAACAGAUUGCUCUGAAUGCAGUUGAUACACUGAAGCCUGGUUUCCAAUUAGUUUAUGUCCUAUCAUGCUGCAGUUCGCUUCUUCAUUUGCUUUCCUUUGCUAUGACCUAGCUCCUCCACUGAUUCCACAAUAUACCUCCAAUCUACUCCUAUAUUCACCAGCUGGUACUGGUGGCUGAGCAAGAAGCAGAAGACCUGUGAUUCGUUCUGAAUUACCUGCCAGUGGAUUGUGUGGCUGAUACAUACAUAAUGAUUGACUUGCU
Long non-coding RNA from Dromaius novaehollandiae (emu), 773 nucleotides. RefSeq lists it as uncharacterized. The transcript has 3 exons. The record is from RefSeq and is a predicted model, not a curated record. Lineage: Eukaryota; Metazoa; Chordata; Aves; Casuariiformes; Dromaiidae.